RNAcentral lists this ribosomal RNA (442 nucleotides) under uncultured bacterium. Its description in RNAcentral is "partial 16S ribosomal RNA". It matches the Rfam family "Bacterial small subunit ribosomal RNA", at positions 338 to 795 of the family's 1533-position model. The record is from RNAcentral.
CCUACGGGAGGCAGCAGUGGGGGAUAUUGCACAAUGGGGGAAACCCUGAUGCAGCGACGCCGCGUGGGCGAAGAAGUAUUUCGGUAUGGAAAGCCCUAUCAGCAGGGAAGAAGAAAUGACGGUACCUGAGUAAGAAGCACCGGCUAAAUACGUGCCAGCAGCCGCGGUAAUACGUAUGGUGCAAGCGUUAUCCGGAUUUACUGGGUGGAAAGGGAGCGCAGGCGGCACGGCAAGCCUGAUGUGAAAGCCCGCGGGCCAACCGCGGUACUGCAUUGGGAACUACCGGGCUGGAGUGCCGGAGAGGUAGGCGGAAUUCCUAGUGUAGCGGUGAAAUGCGUAGAUAUUAGGAGGAACACCAGUGGCGAAGGCGGCCUACUGGACGGUGACUGACGCUGAGGCUCGAAAGCGUGGGGAGCAAACAGGAUUAGAUACCCUAGUAGUC